This 85-nucleotide ribosomal RNA is filed under the name uncultured beta proteobacterium. RNAcentral describes it as "partial 16S ribosomal RNA". Lineage: Bacteria; Pseudomonadati; Pseudomonadota; Betaproteobacteria. The record is from RNAcentral.
GAUACUGGGCGUAAGCGCGCGCAGGCGGUUUGUUAAGUCAGAUGUGAAGCCCCGGGCUUCAACCUGGGAACUGCAUUUGAAACUG